RNAcentral lists this long non-coding RNA (3179 nucleotides) under Coffea arabica (coffee). RNAcentral's name for it is "long non-coding RNA (CARA_LNC002443)". Lineage: Eukaryota; Viridiplantae; Streptophyta; Magnoliopsida; Gentianales; Rubiaceae. The record is from RNAcentral.
GACAUUUCUGUUUCACCUUCCAUGUUGUCACAAGACCAUUAUAAAUAGGACUUGAACACAUUGAGCAAAAUACACAAAAUCAAAGCAAAGCAGAUCAGCUUAUUGGGCUUUGCUUCAUCAAAAGAAAGUAAGAGACGAAAGGGAAAUUGAGAGUGAUGGAGGUGAUUGAUGUUCUUCGCAUGAAUGGAGGGAUUGGAGAUACAAGUUAUGCAAACAACUCAUUGGUUCAGGUAACACUAAACCAUAUCGUGUACUUAAUCUUAAUUCUCCUCCAUAUUUUUGACAAUUUAGUGAAUCUUUUUCUUCUCUGUACUUUUUCAUAUAAUUUUUGAGCGUGUAUUUGGUUCUCUCGGAUCAAUUUUAAGCUUCAAAUUUGGCACCAAAGUUUCUAUCUUGGUCUUCAUAUUUUACGUGCAUAGUUUUUUAAUUCACUACAAGGAAAAAGAGGGAAACCAAUUUGAUUAGUAAUUGGACCUUGCACUGAGAUUCGUCCCCAAAACAAGAAGGUCACAUGCUUACAGUUAGACGCGGAUGAGAAUUAAAUUGUACAUGUUUUUUUUGUCGACACAAAAAAUUUUAUACUAUAAUUACUCCUACUCUACACUAGGAGAAGGGAGAACUAAAGAGGUGAAAGGAAACCGGAUGGGCCACCCCCGGUUCAGACGAGUGCAUAAGCACCGGUUGGCGAAAUAUUUUCCAAAAAGUCUGGAUAUUGAUCUCUUGAUCUACACCAAAUCCCUUGACCUAAACUCAAGUAGAGAUUUUAAAUCUCUCUCAGUAGCCUACAAGAAUCUUGUACGUUGAAUGCAGCAAAUGAAACCUUUGCUGAGAGUCUUAGGUAUUUGUGUAAAAGCAUCAAAUGAACAUUCAAUGUACGUGUUGUGCAAUUGUUUGCCAAAUAUCAUGAACAAAUCCUAACCAUUUGUACCAGGAAAUGGAAAGUAGAUGUACUUCUAAAUUGAUUUGAUGUGAUGAGUUUGGUUCACAAGUACUUGAGUAUAAAGGAAAUUUGAAAAUCAUUAAGGGUUUUUUAAACUGGUGUCAUAGUUACUCGUUAAGACGUUAAUAUACUAACAAUUAUUGUUCUCCCUUGUAUCUAUACACUUUCUCUAAUUAAUUUUAUUUUUCUAAAAAUCUAAUAUCUGAAAUACAUUUUAAUGGGUGCUCAAUGGGUACAUUUAGACAUAUUCAAUCAUAAUCGUUAAUUUGAAGACGAAUUUUCUGGCCUAUCCUAAUCAUGACAGGAUUUUAACUUAAUUUGGUUGUUUGAUCAUAUGCCAGAAAAAAGCCUUCAAAUUUCAUGGAAAUGAACAAAGUUGACUGUGAGGAGCAACAACGUGCUGGUUCCCGUUGGAAUAAUCUCAUCUUUGAUGCAGGAUCAGUAGAUAGGCUUGAUAAAUUGGUAGAUAUUUUGUUUGUUAGUUCGAGUUGAUAUCUUAAAUACUAUGUAGUCCACGUAACAAAGACGGUUGAACAGAGGGUAGAUGUUGAAUCACAACUACCAAAAGAAGAAAAGACAAAUCAAAUGGAAAUAUUCGUGAUUCAAAAGUAUACAAGGAAUAUUGGCGAUAAUUCUGUAAUGAACUAUACAAGGAAUAAAGCUCCUGCAAUGCAAAUCAGAGGAACUAAAUUCAGGAAACACUUUAAAUUUUGUUCAUUAUUUUCCAAGUAUUUAGAUCUUACUAAGUUCAGAAACCAAAGAUUUAGAUCGUUAACUUUGAUCCUCAAGUUUUUGCAUCAUUUGGCAGAAAAUUCGUUUCUAUAUCUAUUUAUCUAAGCUGAAACGUGUUUAAAUUCUUUCUUGAUCCCUCAAGAAAAAGAAGCAAAAAUUUCUUCUUUUGCCUUCUAUGAAUUGGUCUUUUUGUCAACCUUGUUCGGAAAGUCAUUUUCUUCCAAAAAAAUUUCUACGUUUUUUGUAAAUAUAUUUUUGAAUCACCUUUUUAUUUUACAUAUGUUAAAUCGUUAUAAUAUAUAUAUAUAUAUAUAUAUAUAUUUAUAUAUAUUUACAAAAACUUCAAAACUCUUUUUCUGUAUGCUAACGUUUUUUAAAUGCAAUGAAUUUGAAUUUGAAACAACACUGUCCUAGAUCAGUUUCUUCGUGUUUGACUUGAAGAUUAUGCCUUUGCAUGCGUCAUGCAUACUUCUUUUGCCCAAGUAGUUGGGGUAGAUACUCUUUUAGAUACUCCUUUUUUUUUUAGUGUGUUACAUAAUUACUAGAUACUUUUGUUUUUCCUUCUUAGAUCCUCUUUUGCCAAAGCGUUUCUAGAUACUUUUUUUUAUUUUAUUUAAGUAGAUAAUUGCUAGGGAAGAAAAGGAUUUUGACCUUAAAUUAAUCAUGCCAAUUUUACCAACUACUAAGUUUUUGUUUUUUUUUUACACAGGAAGAAUCCCAACUUUGCCGGACUAAUCUCUCUGCGCCUGUACACCCCACCCUCCAAGGAUACACAGCACGGUAGGAGGGACGACUCGAACACACGACCUCAGGACUCAAAGGAGCUACCCUGAUGCCAUCCAAGCCAACCCCGAGAGGCUUUACCAACUACUAAGAACUAACUGUUUUUGAGGUUAAUUACUCAAGCCAAUAUACUCCAACAUGUUGUAUGUGUGUCAAGUUCAUACAAAAAUCUGGACCACAGGUCCAGACACAUGGUAAACAUAAAUUAAGUGGCUAGAAAAGGUGAAGCAGAGAAUAAAUUACACUUUUGUGAGCAUUGAAAACCUUCUCCUGAGUAGCCACAAUCUCAAUUGUCCGUCCGGAUUGUUUGAAUGAUUGGUUUUGCUGCAGAAAGUAUGUUUAGUGCAAAAACUUUUUAUCUCUACUUGUUUUGGCUAAUUUGAUCUGCUAAGGCUAUGUUUCAUUGGAAAAUUAAGUACUCGAAUAAUUCUUGGCAUUUCCAAAGUUUCCAUUUUAGGGCCAUUGGGCAAUUUUUGAAUAUCUAGAUAUACAAUUUCGAUGAGGACCGCAAUAGAGACUCCAGCCAAAAUUUGCUAAUUUCCAAUCUAUCUCCCACAACUCGAUUUAAAAACAAGGGAUAGUUUUAGAAAUCUCCUCCAAGGUUUCUAACAGUUUCAUUUAGGACUCUUAAAUUUUGAAAAAUGUCACUUGUUUUUCUUUACUUUUAAGUUUUUUGCAUCAUUUAUAGCCCGUUUUAAUAUAUAAUAUUAAAAAUUCAUUUUGG